UAUGUGGUGGCGCAGUGGUUAAGUGUGCUUGACUUGUGAUCAAAAGGUCUUCAGUUCGAGUCCGUGCUAUGGCU
This is a non-coding RNA of Gymnothorax javanicus (giant moray), 74 nucleotides long. The record is from the annotation of a GenBank genome assembly. Lineage: Eukaryota; Metazoa; Chordata; Actinopteri; Anguilliformes; Muraenidae.